AGCUCCAAUAGCGUAUAUUAAAGUUGUUGCAGUUAAAAAGCUCGUAGUUGGAUUUGUGGUUGACAUAAGGCUUCCGUCCCUUUUGGGUUUUGGUGUCGCCUGACGUUGCCAUCCUUGGGUGGAAUCUGUGUGGCAUUACGUUGUCAUGCAGGGGAUGCCCAUUAUUUACUGUGAAACAAUUAGAGUGUUCAAAGCAGGCUUAUGCCGUUGAAUAUGUUAGCAUGGAAUAAUAAGAUAGGACCUUGGUACUAUUUUGUUGGUUUGGGCACUGAGGUAAUGAUUAAUAGGGACGGUUGGGGGUAUUCGUAUUCCAUUGUCAGAGGUCAAAUUCUUGGAUUUUUGGAAGACAAACUACUGCGAAAGCAUUUACCAAGGAUGUUUUCA
RNAcentral lists this ribosomal RNA (384 nucleotides) under uncultured eukaryote. RNAcentral's name for it is "SSU rRNA". It matches the Rfam family "Eukaryotic small subunit ribosomal RNA", at positions 587 to 972 of the family's 1831-position model. The record is from RNAcentral.